This 441-nucleotide ribosomal RNA is filed under the name uncultured bacterium. Its description in RNAcentral is "bacterial SSU rRNA". It matches the Rfam family "Bacterial small subunit ribosomal RNA", at positions 339 to 794 of the family's 1533-position model. The record is from RNAcentral.
CUACGGGAGGCAGCAGUGGGGAAUAUUGGGCAAUGGGGGAAACCCUGACCCAGCAACGCCGCGUGAGGGAAGAAGGUUUUCGGAUUGUAAACCUCUGUCCUUGGUGACGAAGGAAGUGACGGUAGCCAAGGAGGAAGCCCCGGCUAACUACGUGCCAGCAGCCGCGGUAAUACGUAGGGGGCAAGCGUUGUCCGGAAUGACUGGGCGUAAAGGGCGUGUAGGCGGCCGAUUAAGUCUGGAGUGAAAGUCCUGCUUUCAAGGUGGGAAUUGCUUUGGAGACUGGUUGGCUUGAGUGCGGAAGAGGCAAGUGGAAUUCCCAGUGUAGCGGUGAAAUGCGUAGAGAUUGGGAGGAACACCAGUGGCGAAGGCGACUUGCUGGGCCGUAACUGACGCUGAGGCGCGAAAGCGUGGGGAGCGAACAGGAUUAGAUACCCCGGUAGC